Sphaeramia orbicularis (orbiculate cardinalfish) is the source of this 169-nucleotide long non-coding RNA. RefSeq lists it as uncharacterized. The record is from RefSeq and is a predicted model, not a curated record. The transcript is spliced from 3 exons. NCBI's taxonomy places the organism in Eukaryota, Metazoa, Chordata, Actinopteri, Kurtiformes, Apogonidae.
CGACAGAGGCAACACUAAUGUGAUACUAAUAUUGCAGCGUUUUCGCUGUUAAGGUUUAAAAGUGAAGCUUCAGCAGGUAGAGAAAAGAGAAAUGAGCCAGAAGUUUCGUUUUCACCUCCGCUGGUGGCAGUCUGCACCGCUCCAUACCCCUCUGUUAUUGUCUGUCUGG